This 253-nucleotide ribosomal RNA is filed under the name uncultured bacterium. RNAcentral's name for it is "partial 16S ribosomal RNA". It matches the Rfam family "Bacterial small subunit ribosomal RNA", at positions 524 to 776 of the family's 1533-position model. The record is from RNAcentral.
GACGGGGGGUCCUAGCGUUGUUCGGAAUCAUUGGGCGUAAAGCGUGUGCAGGUGGCUUUGUAAGUCAGAUGUGAAAGCCCCGGGCUCAACUCGGGAAGUGCAUUUGAAACUACAAAACUUGAAUAUGGAAGAGGGUCGUGGAAUUCCUGGUGUAAUGGUGAAAUACGUAGAUAUCAGGAGGAACACCGGUGGCGAAGGCGGCGACCUGGUCCAAUAUUGACACUCAUACACGAAAGCGUGGGGAUCAAACAGG